UUCACGUCACCAAGAGUCACAGAGCCCUCUGUGAUGUCAUAAAGCGCUCAGCAGACCUGGGGCCCCACAAGCACAGCCCCCACAAGCACAGUGUCUGCUGGUGCAGGUGCUAGUGCAGGUGCUGGUGCUGGUGCUGGUGCUGGUGCAGGUACUGGCAGUGUUGGCACUGGUGGUGUUGGUGGUGCUGGUGGUAGUGCCCAGUCUUGACGGAUCAUGGAGAAGAUCCGGAAGUUUUUCCGGACAUUGAGAAAGACACGGAGAAGGUGGAGUGCUCGCGUGCACCCCAUGGACUGCACAGAGCAGGAAAGUCAGGGAGAAGGCCCUUUGGAAUCUGAAGUGAAGCAGGUGACGGUCUUCUUCUGGCUUUAUAAAAUGCUUGCCAAUGCAUCCUCUUUUGAGCCGAUUUCCUUAAGUGUUGACAGUUUCUAUUCUUUCUUUCUUUCUAUUCUAUUUCUAUACUUGGAACAGGCAGAGGACAGCGCAGAUGGAGUAUCAGUGGCAAUUUCUGCCCCGCAUGAUCUCUCCAUCACAGACGGGGUGGCAGCGGUACCUUCUGCCCCGCAUGAUCUCUCCAGCACAGAUGGGGAGGCAGCGGUGACUUCUGCCCUGCACGAUCUCUCCAGCACAGAUGGGGAGGCAGCGGUGACUUCUGCCCUGCACGAUCUCUCCAACACAGAUGGGGUGGCAGCGGUAACUUCUGCCCCGCUCGGUUUCUCCAUCACAGAUGGAGUAGCAGCGGUAACUUCUGCCCCGCUCAGUCUCACCGAGACCUUUGAAAGUUACUCGUGCUCAGCAAACGACGCUAAGCAAGGAUUUAAGAGACAACCUGAGCGAUGGCCUUCCUGCCUAGAAGGCCUCUCUGGGAACAUCUCUGAGUUGCAAAAAAGCAACAAGACCUCGUCUCAGCAGCAGAAGAAAUCCAGAAGUAAAGCUCGUAGGCAAAAGAGACAAUUGGAGCAAUUGGAAGAAAUGCUCAAGGAAAAGACGUUGGUUUUAGAAGCGACAGAAAAAGCACUGUUCCAGGCCCAGAGGCAGGCAAAGGAAUGCCGUGCUUCACACCUUGCAAAAGGUGAACCGAGAAAAGAAAGUGCAGAGAAGGAAGUUCUGCAGGAACAAGUGGCCCAGCUCCAACGUGAAAACCUUUCACUCCGUCAGCGGCUGGAUGAUGCGCUCAAGACCAGCCAGGCAAGAGCGAGAACAGCCAGACAGCUGCAACAAGAACUUACCGAGGCUGUCGGAAAGCAGCAGAUUGCAGAAGCAUCCCUGAAAACUUCUGCCGACUUAUGCGACUCGCUGAAGAACAAAAUCUCCAAAUUGCAAGAGGAUUUGGACAAGGCUAAUGCCACGGUGUGUGACCUUUCUGCACAGCUAAAGGUGGAACACUCAGAGUUGCUGCUGCAAAAAAGGGCAAAUGAGGAGCUGCGGAUGGAGGAGGCUGUUCUCAAGCAGCGUGUAGAGGCUGCAGUGGCAGAUUAUAAAACAUCAGUGCAGAUUGGAAAGAAGCGUGAAGAAGAAAUGCAAGAGAAACUUGCUGAUAGUUUCAGAAAGCAGUCAAUGUCAGAAAAUUCUCAGAAGCUUUCUGAAGAUUACUGCCGUCACCUGAAGAACGACAUCUCGAAGCUGGAGGAAGACAUGGACAAGGCUAAUGUCAAGGUAUGCAAUGCCUGUGAGCGUGUUGGCAUAGGUUAAGCAGUUCUUUUCCCCUCAGUAGUGCAGGAGAAGAAAUAGUCUGAAAACAAGCGCAGGACACGUUUGUCUGAAAGCAGUAAAAGUUACGUCAUCGUUCAUGGUGGUUUUCCAGAUCACAGCAUGAUCUGCUCUGAAACAUCAACAAAGCCAGCUGCUUUCAGUCACAAGAAAGAGGCAAUCCCGUGCUGCAAAGGGGCAGUGGAAGCUCUUACUUGGGCCCUAGCGUACGUUACUCUCCUUGCCUCCCCGCCUUUCCCUUCACAGAACACAAGCAGCUUCUCGGGGACCUCAUUUUCAGGGUGAGGGGCAAAGCAGUGCCUCGGGAGCAGCAUCCAGGGAAGGAAGAGCGCAGCAGCUUGUCCUCCUUCGAGGCUCGCUGCUGUUCUGAUGCCGUUCCCGAUGUUGUGGCCGUUCUGUGACAUCACAAGGCACGCCCCCACAAAGUGUCUCAGAGUUCAGCUGCUCUGUUUGCAAGUUCUCUCAAUCUCGGCACAAAAAUGAGAUCUUUGUUCCCUGUUAGUGGCGUUCUUGAGAAACAAAAGUACCCCCUUGCUGCCUCUUCCCCCACGCUGGAAGGACAUUAGCAGAGGUGCUUGAACUCUCCAUACAGCUGGAGAUGGAACGGCAAAAGUCACUGGAGCUAGAAAUGGCAAAUCGAGCGCUGCAAGACCUGGUUCACCAAUAUCGCCCACAGGCCACUGCAGUGGGCUGUAGCCCAUUCUCACA
Molecule: RNA transcript, 2415 nt
Organism: Gallus gallus (chicken)
Lineage: Eukaryota; Metazoa; Chordata; Aves; Galliformes; Phasianidae
Gene name: oral-facial-digital syndrome 1 protein-like
Exons: 5
Source: RefSeq, a predicted model, not a curated record